RNAcentral lists this ribosomal RNA (775 nucleotides) under uncultured Neocallimastigales. Its description in RNAcentral is "partial large subunit ribosomal RNA". It matches the Rfam family "Eukaryotic large subunit ribosomal RNA", at positions 24 to 641 of the family's 3401-position model. The record is from RNAcentral. Lineage: Eukaryota; Fungi; Neocallimastigomycota; Neocallimastigomycetes; Neocallimastigales.
UAUCUCUGUAGAGUCUGCAUAUCAAUAAGCGGAGGAAAAGAAACUAACUAGGAUUCCCUUAGUAACGGCGAGUGAAGCGGGAAGAGCUCAAAUUUGAAAUCUUCAAGGUUCUACCUUGACGAAUUGUAGUUUAAAGAAGUGUUUUCUGUUAGUGAGUUGGCUAAAAGUUCUCUGGAAUAGGACAUCAUAGAGGGUGAGAAUCCCGUAUUUGAUCAUUCCUUCUAGCUGUGUGAUACACUUUCAAAGAGUCGGAUUGUUUGGGAAUGCAGUCCAAAAUGGGUGGUAAAUUUCAUCUAAAGCUAAAUAUUGGCGAGAGACCGAUAGCGAACAAGUACCGUGAGGGAAAGAUGAAAAGAACUUUGAAAAGAGAGUUAAACAGUACGUGAAAUUAUCAAAAGGGAAGCGUUUGACACCAGUGUUGUUUUUCCGAAAAUCAAUUAAGAAUGUUUUAUUUUUGAGGAGUUAUGACUUCAUCGGCUUGCUCCUUUCUUUAUGAAACUUUCUUAAUGCACUUUUCGGUUAACAAGUCAACAUCAAUUUCUUUUGUUGUAAAAGGGUAUGAGGAAGGUGGCUUUCUUUUCGGAGAAAGUGUUUAUAGCCUUUUACCUCUGCAAUCGGAGAGAUUGAGGACAGCAGCGUAGACUCUUCGGGGUUAGAUACACUUGUGCUAAGCUAUAGCCUUGUAUAGACAACUUGUUGACUAUGCUCAGUCAUGUAGCUUACUCGCUUGUGCUAUUUUACCUACGCUUAGGAUGUUGAACGCGCACAGAGUCUC